GACACUGAACAUUGAGCCUUGAUGUGUAGGAUAGGUGGGAGCUUUGAAGCGUGGACGCCAGUCUGCGUGGAGCCAACCUUGAAAUACCACCCUUUAAUGUUUGAUGUUCUAACGUUGGCCCCUUACCGGGGUUGCGGACAGUGUCUGGUGGGUAGUUUGACUGGGGCGGUCUCCUCCCAAAGCGUAACGGAGGAGCACGAAGGUUAGCUAAUCCUGGUCGGACAUCAGGAGGUUAGUGCAAUGGCAUAAGCUAGCUUGACUGCGAGCGUGACGGCGCGAGCAGGUGCGAAAGCAGGUCAUAGUGAUCCGGUGGUUCUGAAUGGAAGGGCCAUCGCUCAACGGAUAAAAGGUACUCCGGGGAUAACAGGCUGAUACCGCCCAAGAGUUCAUAUCGACGGCGGUGUUUGGCACCUCGAUGUCGGCUCAUCACAUCCUGGGGCUGAAGUAGGUCCCAAGGGUAUGGCUGUUCGCCAUUUAAAGUGGUACGCGAGCUGGGUUUAGAACGUCGUGAGACAGUUCGGUCCCUAUCUGCCGUGGGCGCUGGAGAAUUGAGGGGGGCUGCUCCUAGUACGAGAGGACCGGAGUGGACGCAUCACUGGUGUUCGGGUUGUCAUGCCAAUGGCACUGCCCGGUAGCUAAAUGCGGAAGAGAUAAGUGCUGAAAGCAUCUAAGCACGAAACUUGCCCCGAGAUGAGUUCUCCCUGAGACUUUAAGUCUCCUGAAGGAACGUUAAAGACGAUGACGUUGAUAGGCCGGGUGUGUAAGCGCAGCGAUGCGUUGAGCUAACCGGUACUAAUGAACCGUGAGGCUUAACCUU
This 817-nucleotide non-coding RNA is filed under the name Klebsiella pneumoniae ISC21. RNAcentral describes it as "LSU rRNA". It matches the Rfam family "Bacterial large subunit ribosomal RNA", at positions 2113 to 2925 of the family's 2925-position model. The record is from RNAcentral. Lineage: Bacteria; Pseudomonadati; Pseudomonadota; Gammaproteobacteria; Enterobacterales; Enterobacteriaceae.